UAGAGCACUCAAGCCUCCUGCGGA
RNAcentral lists this unclassified non-coding RNA (24 nucleotides) under Mus musculus (house mouse). RNAcentral's name for it is "oocyte_clustered_small_RNA9175". Lineage: Eukaryota; Metazoa; Chordata; Mammalia; Rodentia; Muridae. The record is from RNAcentral.